This 356-nucleotide ribosomal RNA is filed under the name uncultured bacterium. RNAcentral's name for it is "bacterial SSU rRNA". It matches the Rfam family "Bacterial small subunit ribosomal RNA", at positions 8 to 350 of the family's 1533-position model. The record is from RNAcentral.
AGAGUUUGAUCCUGGCUCAGGAUGAACGCUAGCUACAGGCUUAACACAUGCAAGUCGAGGGGAAACGAUAUUGGAAGCUUGCUUCCGAUAGGCGUCGACCGGCGCACGGGUGAGUAACGCGUAUCCAACCUGCCCACCACUUGGGGAUAACCUUGCGAAAGUAAGACUAAUACCCAAUGAUAUCUCUAGAAGACAUCUGAAAAGAGAUUAAAGAUUUAUCGGUGAUGGAUGGGGACGCGUCUGAUUAGCUUGUUGGCGGGGUAACGGCCACCAAGGCGACGAUCGAGUAGGGGUUCUGAGAGGAAGGUCCCCCACGAUUGGAACUGAGACACGGUCCAAACGUCCUACGGGAGGCA